AGGACAUGGGCCUUAUUAUCUGUAACCCCAGUGUCAAAGUAUUUCUGUGUGUGUCUUGGGCAGAGGCAGGGAAACCUCCAGAGAAAACAUGGGCAAAGGUUUCUGUUUUGUCAUGUGAAAAAAAUCUGAUGAAUACCACAGAGUACUGCCUGACAGACCUGCAUGAGAGCCGUAUCUGUUGUUUUCCAUUCUCCCUGGGGGGACAGUAG
RNAcentral lists this long non-coding RNA (209 nucleotides) under Cyanistes caeruleus (blue tit). RNAcentral's name for it is "lncRNA (ENSCCEG00000024424.1)". The record is from RNAcentral. Lineage: Eukaryota; Metazoa; Chordata; Aves; Passeriformes; Paridae.